GGACUAGGCACAUAUUGCAGUAGUGCUAGGCACUUGUACGCGAAUACAAAUAGGCAACUGAAUACUAUGGAACAGACUACUAGAUUAAAUUUGCUUUAUGUUUUCCUAUAUAUGCGAAUACAAAUAGACAAAUGCUUCAGUUCAUCAAUAUUAUUUUAGCAUCAACAUUUAUCUGUAAAAUUAGAUAAUUUCUGUUUGCUCAGCUAUCUCUGAAUUGUCUGCAAGGUAAUAUCUCUCUCCAAUAUUGCUUAUUGUUUUGUACACAUCAAGCAUGCUGGGCCUCUGCUCUGGAACGCGCUGUAUGCACUCAUAUGCAACUCUAAGUAACUCAAAAAUCUCACCAUCAUGUCCUUGCCCUAUUAUAGGGUUAUCAAUGGCAUCAUAUAGACAAAAAGAGCUAGAGAAGAGAGCACUUACCCAUUUAUCCAAACUUCCAUCAUCAGAAUUGUUUAAAGAAGUAGCCUUCUUCCCAGUGAUUAGCUCAAGCAGCACAAUUCCAAAGUUAAAAACAUCUUCCUUGAGAUAACACUGCUCCCAAAAUUCAAUAUCCAUAGAGAAACUACAGCUCGAAUUGAUCUCAUUUGGAUUGAUGAGCAUCGCCUUUCCAAAGUUUGAUAAAUGGGUAAGUGCUCU
Molecule: unclassified non-coding RNA, 633 nt
Filed under: Hevea brasiliensis (rubber tree)
Lineage: Eukaryota; Viridiplantae; Streptophyta; Magnoliopsida; Malpighiales; Euphorbiaceae
Source: RNAcentral